UUACAACCAUACCACGUUGGAGCAUUGGCUCUCGUACGAUUGCCGAAGUUAAGCAACGUCCAGCCUGGUUAGUACCUAGAUAGGUGAUGACUUGAGAAUAUCCAGUGCUGUAA
This is a non-coding RNA of Acanthosepion pharaonis, 113 nucleotides long. The record is from the annotation of a GenBank genome assembly. Lineage: Eukaryota; Metazoa; Mollusca; Cephalopoda; Sepiida; Sepiidae.